AUUGAACGCUGGCGGCAUGCUCUACACAUGCAAGUCGAACGGUAACAGGUUAAGCUGACGAGUGGCGAACGGGUGAGUAAUGCAUCGGAACGUGCCCGGUCGUGGGGGAUAACGCAGCGAAAGCUGCGCUAAUACCGCAUACGAUCUGAGGAUGAAAGCGGGGGACCGUAAGGCCUCGCGCGAUCGGAGCGGCCGAUGUCAGAUUAGGUAGUUGGUGGGGUAAAGGCUCACCAAGCCAACGAUCUGUAGCUGGUCUGAGAGGACGACCAGCCACACUGGAAAUGAGACACGGCCCAGACUCCUACGGGAGGCAGCAGUGGGGAGUUUUGGACAAUGGGCGAAAGCAUGAUCCAGCAAUGCCGCGUGCAGGAAGAAGGCCUUCGGGUUGUAAACUGCUUUUGUACGGAGCGAAAAGGUCUCCUCUAAUACAGGGGGCUCAUGACGGUACCGUAAGAAUAAGCACCGGCUAACUACGUGCCAGCCGCCGCCGUAA
Molecule: ribosomal RNA, 493 nt
Filed under: uncultured bacterium
Lineage: Bacteria
Description: partial 16S ribosomal RNA
Rfam family: Bacterial small subunit ribosomal RNA
Source: RNAcentral